GGAAGGAGGACAGCGAGGACGAGUCAGAAAUAAUACAAGAGAAAAGGCACGAACUGGUUCCUGCUCGCAGCUGGACCUGUGGGUCAGAAGGGCAUCGUGGAUGAGUAAAUAUUCAACUGCCUGGGGCAUCCGGGGAAAAUGCCAGUGGAGACUCAGCUACUGCGUUUCUCCAACCUUUAUCAGCGCAUAGAACAAGUGCAGCUGAGAAAAGAGAGAGCUGACUGAGCAGAGAAUGAUCCCAGCGCGAAGGCUGCGGAGCGGCAGGCACUGGGCAGGAGAAGAGCGGGCACAACCACGCCAUGCCACGCCAACGCAAGCAACACAUAAACAUCAACAUCGGAAAGAAAGGACCAGAGCAACCGCUGCGGCCAGCAGCAGGUGAGCUGAGGAAAGCAUGCAGGAAGGGGCGAGAGUAGUCAGAACAGACGGCUGUCUGAUAUACUCGAGGGAGUCUGAAACCAGAACGUUUAAGGGCUGCUUUGGGUUUGGGAAGACUGAGAAGAUAAACAGAAUUCUAAGAAAAAUAUUUUCACAGUUCCUCUCGUCAGUGCAGGACAGCGGAGAGAUAAGGUAACUGCUGAACUAAGAUAGGAACACGAAGCCAGGAGGAGACAAAGAGUCUAAGAGGUGAGAUCUGACCAUGUUUAAAGGCGUAAAGGAGAUUCUGCCAAGGGGAUGGAUGCCGUGACCAGGAAGAAGCGAUGAGAAGAUGGGAGCUGGACUCCAGGGCAGGCUUGGGGCAGAAGAGGAUGAAGCAACAGGGAGUUGGAAACAGGAGAUGAAAAAUGAGAGUGAGAGGUGGAUGAAUAUCUGUUUCGAGCAGUAUUUCUCAACCUUGACACCGUGGACAUCUCAAGCCAGACAAUUCUUUGCUGUGGGAUGUGGGGUGGAGGCUGCCCUGUGCACUGCAGAAGCGGCACCCCGGCCUGUGUACACUAGAUGCCAGAGCGCCCAGCCCCCCAGCUGUGACACCUAAAAUGUCUCCGAUGUUGUCGAAUUUCUGCUGGGUGACAGAAUUGCCCCCCGGGUGAGAACCAAUGAUUUCACAGAAGAAAAAGGAUUGGGGAGAUAAAUGCUGGAACCGAAAGAAGACUUGACACGUCCAACUCCCUUUUUGAUGAAUUAUCAAGGCAGUCAUCAGCGAUCAAACCAAAGAAACAACACUAAAAGGUACACCUCAGGUCUAAACAUCACGGAUCAGACAGAAGGAAGGUAAACAAUUGCCCUGAUACACCCCAAGCCAAACGGGACGCAUGUGGAUUAAACGAACCUAAACCAAGGCCGCUCGUUUUAUCUGACAUUCCUUUGGGAUUCUGCAUUGUUGGUAAAGAUUAGGAUGGAAGAAUGCAAACCCAUGCUGAUCUGAAACAUCCACAAGCCCACAACCUCUGAGGAGUGUGUGUGUGGAGGGGGAGGGGCGGUGAGAGGGAGGGAGGGUGAGAGAAAGAGAGAGGGAUUCAAAACUCUUCCAGCUUUCUUGAGCAAACCUUGGUUUGCAACUGCUUACCCUCCACUAUUCUUUCUAGAUCUCAAAGAAUCAGUUUCCAACCGGAAGGUGAUUCCACGGGACUACGCUGUACUCUUGAUAUUUUCAAAGCAUUUUGCCUAGGUAUUUCUCCGUGGUGACUACAAAAAUGCCCCCCCCGCUCCCCAACAACCCUGCAUGCUUUCCUGAUAGCCUAGUUCCGUGAGAGUUCUAGGUCUGAUAAAGACCUGUCUCAGGUCCAGGGCUAGAAUGGAAGGAUGGUGUGCAAACGUGCCAGAGCUCCAAGGGUUUGGAAACUGGAUCUCAAUCUUCUCAUGUCAGCAUUCCCACGUAACUCAGCAGACUCUCUAGCUCCACGAGGACAGGUCCCGUGGAUAAAGCUCAGCAUUGCUGCAAAGAGAGAGGUCAGCUAAUACACAAAGGUGAGGACUUAUGGGGUCAGCUGGUUGGCACAGAGCUGCCGAGGAAGGACCGUGCCUGAGCAGGAACCGUGAUAGUCUCAGGGUCACUGAUUAUCAUGGUGGACCUUGGGCUUUCCCUGGUUCUCAUUACAUCCCUGGGCAACCAUCCUGGAUGUAGUCUGUCUCUUAGGAGAAAACUGCCCAGAUUCUUACUUCUCCAAAGGGCAGUUUAGUGUAGUGUUAAGAGCAUGGACCCUGGGGCUAAAAAUGCCCCAAUUCAAACCCAGCUCAUUACUCAUAACUCUGUACCUUAGGCAAGUGAAUUAAAAUCUCUACCUCAGUUUCCUCACCUGUAAAAAGCAGGUGAUAAUAGAAUCAGUGACAGAGGAUUAUAAUAAGGAUUAGAUGAGAUAAUACUUGUAGACUUUCUUUUUUUUUCUGUUUUUUUUUGGCCGUGCUGUGUGGCAUGCGGGAUCUUAGCUCCCAGACUAGGGAUUGAACCUGUGCCCCCUGCAAUGGAAGUGCAGAGUCCUAACCACUGGAUAAUACUUGUAAAGUGCUUUUAAAAAUAUCUGCAUGGGGCUUCCCUGGUGGCGCAGUGGUUAAGAAUCCGCCUGCCAAUGCACGGGACACGGGUUCAAGCUCUGGUCCGAGAAGAUCCCACAUGCCGCGGAGCAACUAAGCCCGUGCACCACAACUACUGAGCCUGCGCUCUAGAGCCCGAGAGCCACACCUACUGAGCCUGCGCGCCUAGAGCCUGUGCUCUGCAACAAGAGAAGCCACCGCGAUGAGAAGCCCACGCACCACAACGAAGAGUAGCCCCCACUCGCCGCAACUAGAGAAAGCCCGCACCCACCCAACGCAGCCAAAAAUAAAUAAAUAAAUAAAUAAAUAAAUAUAUCCGCAUGUACCAAGUGCUCAAUAAGUAUUUGUUGUUAUUCUGUCUGCCAAAUUCUUGGAAAAUUAUCAUCAUCCAUUAAAAGCACUCAGGAAUGUGGCUUUCUUGGUAUUUUAUCGUGAAUAGGUCUCAUUGCGGAUAACAGAUGUACUGCGUGUUCUGUCAGACUCUAACAACAUUUACCCUGAGUGCUAAGAUUUUUCUGCCUCAUAUGGACGGCCUCAUUUUCUUUAAACAGAACUGCCCUACCGAAGACUGUGGCCUCCUUAGGCAGGGCCCAUUACUCUGCUGCAAAUUUUCCCAGCCUGACCCAGUUAGAAACGUUCAACAGAAAAUAAUGCAGUCACGCGGAUGCAUAGGUUUGAAGAGAGGUUCACACCACUCUAGAACUGACCACAGCUGGGUUUUAACUAGCCAGUUCCUUGAACACACUUAGAUCAUGAUUUGGUUUAAAAUAUAUAAAAGUCAGACAGGCACAAUAUUCAGAAGCACGACUAUUCUCUAAGGCAAAGUAUGUACAUUCUAAUUUCUAGCAACUGUUAAUGGACUUGACUUACCCAGGGCCUUAGUCACCCCCUAACAUUUAAUUAAAGCACAAUGGUAGGGACUUCCCUGGUGGCGCAGUGGUUAAGAAUCUGCCUGCCAAUUCAGGGGACAUGGGUUCGAUCCCUGGUUGGGGAAGAUCCCACAUGCCACGGAGCAACUAAGCCCGUGUGCCACAACUACUGAACCCGCAUGCCACAA
Orcinus orca (killer whale) is the source of this 3529-nucleotide long non-coding RNA. RefSeq lists it as uncharacterized. The record is from RefSeq and is a predicted model, not a curated record. The transcript is spliced from 3 exons. NCBI's taxonomy places the organism in Eukaryota, Metazoa, Chordata, Mammalia, Artiodactyla, Delphinidae.